GGAAAAGUUUACAUCUUGGUAAGUUAAAACAAUUGCUAUUUGUUUGAGGCAACUCAUAAGGGUUCGAUUCCCUUCUUUUCCU
Molecule: transfer RNA, 82 nt
Filed under: Phlebia radiata
Lineage: Eukaryota; Fungi; Basidiomycota; Agaricomycetes; Polyporales; Meruliaceae
Description: tRNA-Ser(AGC)
Rfam family: tRNA
About the family: Transfer RNA (tRNA) molecules are approximately 80 nucleotides in length. Their secondary structure includes four short double-helical elements and three loops (D, anti-codon, and T loops). Further hydrogen bonds mediate the characteristic L-shaped molecular structure. tRNAs have two regions of fundamental functional importance: the anti-codon, which is responsible for specific mRNA codon recognition, and the 3' end, to which the tRNAs corresponding amino acid is attached (by aminoacyl-tRNA synthetases). tRNAs cope with the degeneracy of the genetic code in two manners: having more than one tRNA (with a specific anti-codon) for a particular amino acid; and 'wobble' base-pairing, i.e. permitting non-standard base-pairing at the 3rd anti-codon position.
Source: RNAcentral